RNAcentral lists this long non-coding RNA (8183 nucleotides) under Triticum aestivum (bread wheat). Its description in RNAcentral is "long non-coding RNA (TAES_LNC008054)". The record is from RNAcentral. Lineage: Eukaryota; Viridiplantae; Streptophyta; Magnoliopsida; Poales; Poaceae.
GUGGCGCUUUCAACAGUGUAGCUCUUGCUUCGAUUGUUGUGGUUAAUUACCUUCAGCUCCAGGCAUCUAUAUCUUGUCUUUAACGUGUCCCUGCAUUUAUCUAUUUUAUAAGUAGUUAAUUCGCUGAUAGCCUUCUGUGCUUUUUAUAUCUAUUAGAGUUGGGGUGUGAUGGUUUAAAUAUGGCACAGUUGGAAGCAUGGUUGAACUUGUAAUGGUCGUAGGCUGUGGUCUGUUGCUACCUUCACUAUAUAUGUCUGUAAUGGCUCGUUUUCUUAAUGAGAUGAAGAACUGAAUCCUCUUGUUAUGUUUAUCAUGCUCUGCUGCUGAAUGAAGCCUGAGACGUUUUGCAGAGCUUGUUGUGCCUGCAUGAUCCUGGCUACAAAGAGAACCACUGCUUGUAUUUUUUUAGUGCUCCAGAGACCUUGCUUCUUUUCGAAUGUUAAGUUUAAAACUCGAAGUCAGUUGCCUGAUAGAUGAUGUUUUCUUUGCAAUUUGUGGCCCCACAUGUGUUUGUUUUAAUGUCCUGUUGUUUGUUCGUUCAUGCAUGGCGGCUCUGCGCAUUAGUUGUUUGUGCUAAUGCCAAGAGGUUGGGAUUAUGUUUGUUUUUUUGUGUUGUCUAAUUAACGCUCUUGUGUUUCUACUCUUUGGCUGCUGAGAUGUUCAUUUGGAUCAAGUAUUGCCGCUGAAGGUUUUUGUUCUCUGCCUUGCUCACAAACUUUUGUUUGGUCAAUUUGCACAAAUGUGGAUCAAAUUUGUAAGGGAGCUGAAACAAUGAAGUUACAGUCCUUGCUCUGUGUUGUACUGAACGCUGAGUUUUUUUUCUUUUACAUAUUGAUGUUUAAAUACAGUAGAAAAUGUGAUUGGCAAGAUAGUUAUACUUCAACAAUACUUCACCUGUUACCCAAUACUCCCUCCGUUCCUAAAUAUUUGUCUUUUUAGAGUUUCAAAUGGAUAUUUGUCUUUUUAGAGUUUCAAAUGGACUAUCACAUACUGAUGUACAUAGACAUAUUUUAAAGUGUAGAUUCAUUCAUUUUGCUCCGUAUGUAGUCACUUGUUGAAACCUCUAGAAAGACGAAUAUUUAGGGACGGAGGGAGUAAAAGAUAAUUUAGUCAGCAGUACUAUGUAGACUGGUUUAUUUUUUGUGCGUGACCCCUUCCUCAUCUCUAAAACAUGCAAUGUUCUCAGAUUUAUUUGCCUUUUUGCAUUGAGUUCAAAACUUGAACAUUUAGGAGGCAUUGACCAAUGUAGCAUGAGUACCGAAUACCUCUUCCUCGAGGUAUCUAACUUAUAAAGGAUGAAAGGGUUCGUAGUCACAACGAAGCCAGCCACGUCGCCUUUAAAUCGCUGCUGCCACCGCCUGUAAUUUUCGUUCCCCGCUGAGGGCAUUUUCGUCAUUUCGCAUCCGGGCGUAUAAAAGGGAGCAGCUCCUGUGGAGAAGACCUAGCUGCUCCUCCUCCCGCACUCGUGCGCCCCCUUUAUUCUUCCUCCCGCCUCACCUCUCUCCCCCCUCGACCCGCGACCCUCGUCCUGUCGCCGCCGGGACCCUCGUCCCUCUUGUCGCCGUCGCCUCCGCUGCCAAGUAGUGAGCGAGAGCAGCGAGAGGAACAACGAGCGAGCAGCCAAACCUUCAUGGCCUCCGCCCUCUCUCUUCCCCACCCCUCUCCCCUCACCACACAAGAGAAGAGAGGCAGGGAGUUGGACCGAUCAGGCGGCGGCCGGCCAUGGGACGGGAGGGCAGCGUUGGGCGAGCGAAAAGGAAAAGAAGCGAGCGACCGGAAGAAAAAAGACCUAGCCCGCGUCACCCCCCGUAACCCCCGCAGCCGCCUCCUCUCCUGUCGCCGCCGCCGCCUCGGCCUCGUCUCCACUGCGCCGCCUCCUCCUCUCCACUUCUCUCUACCACCGCAUGGCCGCCGCCGCCGCUCGCCUCUUUCUUCCCGUAGCUCCUGCAGGACGACGCCUCCCCAUCCUCCAUCAGCCGGGUCGGGCGAAGGUCGCCGGCAUCUUCGCGCUGCCACCUCUGCCCGUCCUCCUCUCUCGCCCAGCCACCACCGUUGCAAGGAGCAGGGAAGAUAGGAGACGACGACAAGAAGCAAUGGGUUGGUUGCGGUGGGCUUGAGCUGAGCAGGGGCCGGGUUAAGGUAGGUGUUGACGGCCUGGAUCCGUCGACGGGGGUCUGCCGGGCAUGGCGGCUGCUGGAAGGGCAGCAGCGGCCUGUGGGGAGUCGGCGGCACGGCAGCGACAUCUAUGGAGAAGAAUGGCCCAGCAGGCUCGUGUAGACAGGAGAUUCUCGGGGUGUUUGUCAAUUGGGCAGAUGGCGGCCAUCGGAGUUUCUUCAAUCGAUCUGGACAGGGCCACCACAGCGUACGCGAGGGCUGGAGGUGAGUGACCCUCUGGAGCCGCUUCCUCUCCCAGUUUUUUACUCCUUGAUUUUUAGAUCCUCUCCCAGUUUUUCACUACUUGAUUUUUAGAUUAUUUGAUAAUCUUAUUUGAUUUCUCAAUUUCUGGUUACCUAUGACGAGUAGAAGAAGAAUUUUGACAAAGGGUUUGAUGAAUAAGAACAGGUGAAUUCAAUUUGCCUUGAAUAUAGUCGCGUGUGUUCCCGCAUUUUGAUGUUUGAUUUUUUUUUCUGUGUAAGAGAGCAAAUGACAUGAUUUUGUACUCCUAUUACCUACUGACAGAAGAUACAUUUGUAAAUGAAGGUCUCAAUAAUGUUUGUUUUUACCUUGUGGUCUGAUAGACCAGUACAUACUGUUGGUCAUGUUAACAAAAGAUUUUGUCAUCCCUCUGUAUGAGCUGUAAUAAUAUUUACAUAUAUCUUUGACUGUGCAGAUUCAGAUUUUUCUCCUUCCUCGCCUCAUUGACAUGCUCUGCAUCUUCAGCUUGCAGGUUGUGGUCUUUCACUUCUCCUCUUGUUGGUUUGCUCUCUGGUUAAGCCAUGGAAGACACGCUUCGAUUACUUGGCUCCUCAAGGUAUGGUGCAUAUUGCCUCUGAUUUGCUUAUUUGAGUGUACUUUUAUACAGAAAAUUUCAUUUGCUUAUUUUCAAUUCUUUAGGGAUAUGAGAAGAGAGCUCUAUUGUUGGCAGUGGCUGCAUAAUUUCGACAAGUGAAUGGUUGAUCUUUGCUAUGUGGAUUGUGGACCGAUGGCAUAAUCUGUAUCUAAGGUUGGAGAUUCUGAAUUAGGUACGAGAAAGAUGACAGUCACUUUGUUUUCACUAUAUUAGUUUACUGAAUAUUUUUAAGGUUGGAACUGCAUGAUCAAAGUGACAAUAUAACUAAAUGUUCGAAGAAACUUAAGGCUAGACACCACAUUAAUUUCCUUUUUAAUUUGAAUUUAUAAGCAGACACCUGAAUUUAGCUUGAUACAGAUCCUAUGAUCCCUUGGAAGCCUAUAUUGUAAAAUUUGAGCAGUUCCCAUGACAGAAUUUAUAUUAGAACUUACUUUCUCUUUCCAAAUGCCCAUAUAUUUUGUUGCUCUAUAAUUCAACUUAUACGCAUUUAGCAGCGUAUCUUUAUCAUGUUAUCCAGUUCUUACCAUACCAUGUGGUAGCUAAAUGUGCUGAUCUACCCCUGCAGAAUUAGUACCGUUUUUCAGCUAUGUGUAAUUAAUCAGCUACUUCCAUUUUUUGAUGAUUAAUUUUUAAAUAAAGGUUCAGAGAAUGGCUUCUAUUGCCUUCCAGACCACCUGGUAAAGGAUGAAUAGGUGUUGGUUGCCAUCCAGAUCUCCGUCUUGGAUGCUGGGAGCAAUUCUCAAAUUGUUUGUGCAUGAAUUGACCGAUUCUCCUUUCUCUUGCAGAGUGUCUUGUUUAUCUGAGGUGGAUUCUUAUCUUCUUAUCCACAUGCUUGCUAAAUGUACAUUUUUCUUUCAUUUUAGCUAGAAAGCAAGCAGCCUUACACGAUUUAGAUAUCUUUUACAUGAACUUCUUAUGCAACCAGUAUGUUAUGAAUAUGCAAUGGCACACAUUGUUUCUUUAGUGAGAAAUUCCUGAACAUACUCUCUAUUGUGUUAUGGGAGUCUGAUGUACCAGCCCAUGUGGCUGAUUGUGUUAUGGGUGAUUUGCCCAAGCACCGUUAAGUUACAAAGUUUUGCUUUACUUCCAAAAAAAGGUCUGUUGAAACGUGCCUAUUGACCACCAAAAACCACUUUAUUUUUUGUGUAUGUUCGCCAUUUUAGUCCAAUUGUUGAUAUGCUGCCAACAACUUUUCCAUCCCCUCUUUCUUACUAUUUAGUUAUUUCCUCAGGCAAGUUGAUGGUUAUUUCUACUAUUGCUAAUUUAGUUUUGGUUCUAUCUGUGUGCAUGGCAUGCAGGCCUUCCCAGGAGAUGCAGUUCUGAAAUUUGUCACAGUUCUAUGGAUCUAUUAUUGUGAGAACCGAUGAUAUAUGGUGAGUUGUCUGACACCAUCAUUUCUCCUUUCUAGCGCUUGAGUUGACAAAUUUCAUGUAAUCAAAUGGAGUCCCUGCAUCUUAAGAUGUCAUCCAUUUAUCACAUGUAAUGUGUUGUUUCCCUUUUAUGCGCCAGAGUUCUUUCCUAUAUUCUGAGCAUCAAAGCCCUUUUAGAUUGUAUACUGGACAUGAUUUUAUCUACUUUAAUAUAUGCUUUAUGCGCGUCUGAAAGUGUCCACUAUGUUUAUUUGCUCCAUGAAUUUAACUGUUGUAUUUGCUAAGAAUAGUGUAAUUUUCUGGGUCACAAUUACCUUUAAACAUCAACUACGUUCUUAUUCCUAUCAACGAUCUAAGUAAAACAUGAAAAACCUGGGUUUUCCUUUGUCUCUGGCCAGUGUUAUAUACUUAUUCGAUACCUACUAUCCUCUAUAUAUACUUGUGUUUUCCCCCUCCAAUAUAGGUGCCUGGACUAUGACCUCUGCCUUUUGACGGUUGCUUUUCCUUUGCUACUAGGUAUUGUUCUUGUAUUCAAGAGUUUUGUUUCUACAAUUGCCUUUGACGUACCUACACAUCAAUCAUUUGCCAAAUUAAAACAAAUGACCUUCUCAAAACAUAUGCAUGCUUUCGACACCCUGAAGAGAUGUGUUUACUUUACCCGCAAACUUCUAUACACGGACUGUUUAAUGAAUUUUAAUGUGUGGUUGUGUGAUGUAUACUUCAGUAAAUAUUGCUUCUCCAAUUUACAAUAUUAUUAUGGGGAAAAUUUGACACAUAAAAAUGCACACAAGUUAUGAAUAUUUUUAGCUCAAUUGAUAAUUGUUCGUCAAAAGAGAUCACACAAUACCCCUUGCUCUGAAUUAUUUAGAUUGAAGCCAUACUCUGUGUAGACAUGCAGUUAUUUUUAAAGUAAAAGAAAAUAAUUAUUUACUGGUAGUAGGAUCACAGCGGCAAAUUACUGUGUCUCAGGUUUGAAAGCAGGUAGAAUAACGAGAAAGUUUGGAUACGUCAAUUUCUUUUUUCUUAUAUUUAAUUUCCUAAUGUAUGAUGGUGGAGUUGCAUCUCUUUACUGUCAUCGAGGAAAAGGAUGACCAAGCUCAGCAGUCCAAUCUUUGUCUUUGGCACUAGGAAAGUUGCCUAAAAGAUAUAUAAUGCCGGUCCAUGUAUUUAGUUGUUUGUGCCGCAGCCUGUGUGCUUCCAUUUGCUUUCUAACAUUAAUGGGGUACAUGUACAUGUACUAAGAACCGUUUGACUAUAUGUGACCAUCAAGAGAACUAAUAUUUCCUGUCAUCUAUUCAUUUCGGCCUUAUCAUCUCACUUUCGUUUGUUACAUCUUGUUCAAUAUCAUUGUUGUAUCAAUGCUACCCAUCUACCCUAUAUGCAUGUCGUAAUUCGUAAACCUUGACAAAAGCAAAGAACAUGCUUAAUCAAAAAAUUCAAUGAACAUAGGGUCCACUUGGCACUGAAUCUUAUAUUUACUAAUUGGAGGCACCUUUCAAGUCUUCUAAUUAAUCCACAUCAUCACAAUUAAUUAGACAGUUGGAUUAUAAAAUUAACGACCAAGAUAAGAAGAAAACUUGCGUAACACAGAUGGUUCCGGCUGUCCAAAAUAAUGGCAUAUGACACGGCCAAUGUGUUGAAACAAGAAAAAAAACAUCCAUCUGUUCCUUUAAAAAAAUGAUAGACUCCUUCCAUAACAACUCUCGAGGAUCUGUGAAACACAGUUUUACAUGCAGGAUCCAUGAAACUCUUCUGCCAAUUAAAGAAAGGAAAAACAGCGCUCCUUAAAGAAAACAUCCCAUCGCUCCUGUGCAUCUUUUCAGGCAACUUCCGCUUCUUUGGUCCAUUAAAACAACAUCUGACACGCGAAAAUUCUCUUCUGAGCCCGGUCUCAGCUGAUCUUGAAAUCAGAGUCGUCCAGAUACAUUAAGAUCCGAGCCAGGAGCUUUAUUCUCUUCUGUAUUUCCGUUGUACAGAGGGAGAAAAGAAAGCGGGCCUGCGUCAUUAAUUGCUGUGCGCGGCACGGCCGUUUGCCGGAUCAGGCUCGGUCGCACGGCCCGGUAAUAUUUCUGAGCCGUCUUGACGGCCCGACGACUUUUCAGCCAAGUCUCGUCUGCUGUGUGCUUAGGUGCUUUUUUUUAUGCAUGCAGAUAAAUCCGCCGUCUGCUGCUCGCAACCAUGCAGGCACAGGCACCCCUUUCUAAACAAUCUGUGUGAUGUUUACCCUGUAAGAAUUCCUAUAAAGAUGCCAAACCCGCGACACACAUUUCGCUAAUCAAAAUCACAAAGGCGUGUUACUGUUACCCACAUGCUGACCGAUGUGCUUCAUGUCGCGCAUAACAUGACGACAUCAAGUCAGUACUAAUCACCACAGCACACUAAGUACGAAACAGACGCACACACAGCAACUGCUGCUGUAGUGGCAACGACAGUGUUACCAUCUGCAAGGCACAAAGAAACUUACUGAGCCCGUCUAUGUUUGAUUGUUUCGGUGCAAACGUCCUCCUCAUCGGGUCCAUCAUGCAUCCGUGUCGUCGCCACCAAGGUUGCACACUGCGCUGGACUCGCUCCUAUCCGCCGAAAAUGCAGCAACCUCUGCGAACAAGGCAGUGUCAUUUGGAUCGUGCUUGCUGAACCUUCUUCCAGGGGAGGAGGGACCAUGAUCCAACUCCUCCAAGCAAGCGCGCAUUUUGAUCGUGCUUGCUGAACCCUUCUUGCCAACGCAUUCCUUACUCCAGCAGGAUUUGCCUCCAUCCAGAAGUCACCGGAACCAGCUGCCGGCGCCGCUGUGCACUACAAAACUCCGGCGAGAACACGGCACCUGUGAGGAAUGAGACCGAUUUGGUCGACAACCCUUGGGUCCCAGGCAUUAUGAUCUCCUAGCGGGCCCAGACUUCAACACGUGCCACCUGGACCGCAGACCUGUUCCGCGGCCCACAAUAGUUUUCACGUCCCGGGCCGUGGCGCAGAGCCUCGCUGUAACGGAAACACUCCCCGCCCUACAAAACUGGCCCACACCAAACGACGGUACACACUCGUAUCGCGGCCGUAUACAUUUUUAACGCGGGUUGCGUUCUGACGCAGCAGAGCGGUUUUUUCGCAUCCCAAGGUGCCUACGAUCGGCACAAAUUUCGGGCUCAUCUGAGCCCGAGCACCAAAACGCCUUGUCCACAUCUGACACGUCCAAUUUAAACAAUAAAAAAGGUAUCCAUCGUUUCUUUUAAAAAAGAGACAGCUGCCACUCAAACAAAAAAAAGGCAUCCUUACAUAACAGCUCAUCUAUGAAACUCUUCUUGCCAGCUAAAACAAGGAAAGGCAUCUGUGCCUAAAAAAAAGGGAAAACAUCUCCAUGGGCACCUGUACAUGGAUGGACCUUUCAAGCCUUCUCACUAAUCCACAUCAUCAAAACUAACUACACAAGUGAAUUGUAAUUGUAAGUCCAGGAUUUAGAAUACAUCGACACAACUUUAUUACGCAAGUUUUGGAGUCCUGGGCAGCCACAACUUACAAGUUGUAAAUUCUAGAGAAUUAGCUACAAUAAUAAUUCUUCGCAAAAAAAAGCUACAAUAAUAAUUGAAUCGUACGUCCAGAAUAAGAAUACAUAACCAUUAGAUUGUGAAUUUAAUGGUCAAGAUCUAUUAAAAGGCCUGCAUCUUUAAAGAAAACACCAUGAACAUAUCUGGGAUUAAACCCACACGUUCGUACAAAGAAAAAGAUGAGAGUCCUUCCCUUAAAAAAAGAUGAGAGUCCCCCACAUAAAGAAAAAGAUGAGAGCCAUGCCGUAUUACGACAGAAAAAAAAAA